AAGACUAUUUUCAGGGUCGUUUCUAUCGUUUUUUUUCUUGAAAAUUGUGAUUCUAAAGUGAGUGGUCUCGCUAUCCACGAUUACGACUUUUGAUACUUUUCUGAGCGCGAAGCGGGCAGAGGUUGACGAGUAAAUGUUUCUGAUCACUGCUUUUGAUGACCGUUCCAUGUCUUCUCUGGGGAUAUGGAGGAAGGGUGUAUGAUCAGAGAGGU
Molecule: small nucleolar RNA, 212 nt
Filed under: Hucho hucho (huchen)
Lineage: Eukaryota; Metazoa; Chordata; Actinopteri; Salmoniformes; Salmonidae
Description: Small nucleolar RNA U3 (ENSHHUG00000043064.1)
Rfam family: Small nucleolar RNA U3
About the family: Small nucleolar RNAs (snoRNAs) are involved in the processing and modification of rRNA in the nucleolus. There are two main classes of snoRNAs: the box C/D class, and the box H/ACA class. U3 snoRNA is a member of the box C/D class.
Source: Rfam by way of RNAcentral